UACGUAGGGAGCAAGCGUUGUCCGGAAUCAUUGGGCGUAAAGCGCGCGUAGGUGGCUUCGUAAGUCCGUUGUGAAAGUCAAAGGCUCAACCUUUGAAAGCCGAUGGAUACUGUGAGGCUAGAGUACGGAAGAGGCGAGUGGAAUUCCUGGUGUAGCGGUGAAAUGCGCAGAUAUCAGGAGGAACACCGGUGGCGAAGGCGGGUCUCUGGGCCGAUACUGACGCUGAGGAGCGAAAGCGUGGGGAGCGAACAGG
RNAcentral lists this ribosomal RNA (253 nucleotides) under uncultured bacterium. RNAcentral describes it as "partial 16S ribosomal RNA". It matches the Rfam family "Bacterial small subunit ribosomal RNA", at positions 524 to 776 of the family's 1533-position model. The record is from RNAcentral.